This 302-nucleotide long non-coding RNA is filed under the name Elaeis guineensis (African oil palm). RNAcentral describes it as "long non-coding RNA (EGUI_LNC053086)". Lineage: Eukaryota; Viridiplantae; Streptophyta; Magnoliopsida; Arecales; Arecaceae. The record is from RNAcentral.
UCUCUUGCACAUUAGAUCUAGAAGAGAACUCAAGGUAACUACCUUGGGGAGGACAUUGAAAAAUAAUUUUUCCUUUCUCCACCUAUUUUAUCAAGCAUUAACUGUAGGGCCACUAAUAAAAAAUGGAUUUCAAAUCUAGACACAUCAAACUAUCUCCUAUGAUAGUCAAAAUGAUGUGAGCAGAAACUCAAGUUAUGACAUAAUUUUGAUAUUCUGCAUAUUGAUAAGAACAUGUACAAUUAUAUGUUAGGAAUAUUAUUGACCAUUGAUGGCAAAACAAAGAUCACAUAUAAGAAGAGGCA